AACCCAGACUCCUACGGGAGGCAGCAGUGGGGAAUAUUGCACAAUGGGGGGAACCCUGAUGCAGCGACGCCGCGUGGGUGAAGGAGUACUUCGGUACGUAAAGCCCUAUCAGCAGGAAAGAAAAUGACGGUACCUGACUAAGAAGCCCCGGCUAACUACGUGCCAGCAGCCGCGGUAAUACGUAGGGGGCAAGCGUUAUCCGGAUUCACUGGGUGUAAAGGGAGCGUAGACGGCGACGCAAGUCUGGAGUGAAAGCCCGGGGCCCAACCCCGGGACUGCUCUGGAAACUGCGUCGCUGGAGUACGGGAGGGGCAGGCGGAAUUCCUGGUGUAGCGGUGAAAUGCGUAGAUAUCAGGAGGAACACCGGCGGCGAAGGCGGCCUGCUGGACCGCGACUGACGUUGAGGCUCGAAAGCGUGGGGAGCGAACAGGAUUAGAUACCCGAGUA
This 447-nucleotide ribosomal RNA is filed under the name uncultured bacterium. Its description in RNAcentral is "bacterial SSU rRNA". It matches the Rfam family "Bacterial small subunit ribosomal RNA", at positions 328 to 792 of the family's 1533-position model. The record is from RNAcentral.